Molecule: transfer RNA, 73 nt
Filed under: Thermoprotei archaeon
Lineage: Archaea; Thermoproteati; Thermoproteota; Thermoprotei
Also listed under: 1 other name
Description: tRNA-Thr
Rfam family: tRNA
About the family: Transfer RNA (tRNA) molecules are approximately 80 nucleotides in length. Their secondary structure includes four short double-helical elements and three loops (D, anti-codon, and T loops).
Source: RNAcentral
GCCCCGGUUGCCUAGUGGUUAGGGCGGCCGCCUCGUAAGCGGCAGGUCGCGGGUUCAACCCCCGCCCGGGGCU